Molecule: ribosomal RNA, 463 nt
Filed under: Geastrum cf. calceum UFRN-Fungos 723
Lineage: Eukaryota; Fungi; Basidiomycota; Agaricomycetes; Geastrales; Geastraceae
Description: eukaryotic LSU rRNA
Source: RNAcentral
GGGGGGUCUCUCCCCCUCUUUUCACACAAAMACAAAGUUAGUUAUAUGCAUAUGUUGAUUACUCUACGGAGUUAAAUAUAAUAACUUUCAACAACGGAUCUCUUGGCUUUCGCAUCGAUGAAGAACGCAGCGAAUGUGCGAAACGUAAUGUGAAUUGCAGAAUUCAGUGAAUCAUCGAAUCUUUGAACGCAUCUUGCGCUCCUUGGUAUUCCGAGGAGCAUGCCUGUUUGAGUGUCGUGAAUACUCCUCAAUUUCAAUYKUUUUGUUUGAAAUUGGAUUUGGAUGUUGUUGUUAUCAUUUGACGACUCGUCCUAAAUGCAUUAGCGAUCUGGCUUGACCACACACAAUGUGAUAAAUAAACUAGCAUUGUUACAAUCAAGUCAAGACUGCUUCUAACCGUCGACAGACAACGCAUAUAUCUAAUAUAUGCAUGUCAUUUGACCUCAAAUCAGGUAGGACUACC